UCCGAUAUGGUGUAGUGGCUAACAUUAUCGCCUCUCAUAAAGUAUGUUUCGCGAUAGCCCGGGGUUCGAUUCCCCGUGUCGGAA
This 84-nucleotide transfer RNA is filed under the name Lentinula edodes (shiitake mushroom). Its description in RNAcentral is "tRNA-Glu". It matches the Rfam family "tRNA". From Rfam's summary of the family: Transfer RNA (tRNA) molecules are approximately 80 nucleotides in length. Their secondary structure includes four short double-helical elements and three loops (D, anti-codon, and T loops). Further hydrogen bonds mediate the characteristic L-shaped molecular structure. tRNAs have two regions of fundamental functional importance: the anti-codon, which is responsible for specific mRNA codon recognition, and the 3' end, to which the tRNAs corresponding amino acid is attached (by aminoacyl-tRNA synthetases). tRNAs cope with the degeneracy of the genetic code in two manners: having more than one tRNA (with a specific anti-codon) for a particular amino acid; and 'wobble' base-pairing, i.e. permitting non-standard base-pairing at the 3rd anti-codon position. The record is from RNAcentral. Lineage: Eukaryota; Fungi; Basidiomycota; Agaricomycetes; Agaricales; Omphalotaceae.